This 468-nucleotide ribosomal RNA is filed under the name uncultured bacterium. RNAcentral's name for it is "partial 16S ribosomal RNA". It matches the Rfam family "Bacterial small subunit ribosomal RNA", at positions 28 to 507 of the family's 1533-position model. The record is from RNAcentral.
GACGAACGCUGGCGGCGUGCUUAACACAUGCAAGUCGAACGGAAAGGCCCUGCUUUUGUGGGGUGCUCGAGUGGCGAACGGGUGAGUAACACGUGGGUAACCUGCCCUUGAUUUUGGGAUACUUUCAGGAAACUGGGGCUAAUACCGGAUAGGGGCUCCUGCUGCAUGGUGGGGGUUGGAAGGUUUCGGCGGUUGGGGAUGGACUCGCGGCUUAUCAGCUUGUUGGUGGGGUAGUGGCUUACCAAGGCUUUGACGGGUAGCCGGCCUGAGAGGGUGACCGGCCACAUUGGGACUGAGAUACGGCCCAGACUCCUACGGGAGGCAGCAGUGGGGAAUAUUGCACAAUGGGCGGAAGCCUGAUGCAGCAACGCCGCGUGCGGGAUGACGGCCUUCGGGUUGUAAACCGCUUUCGCCUGUGACGAAGCGUGAGUGACGGUAAUGGGUAAAGAAGCACCGGCUAACUACGUG